GUUUUAUUAAAAAAAUAUUUUCCUUGCUUUUUUUAUGGUGCAUUAGAAUCAUAAAUAAGGAAAAUUUGAAUUAUUUACAUAAAAUAUAACUUUCAUAACAUUUAUUGUUUUUUGCAACAAAAUAUGUUCAUUAAAAGUAAUUUAAGCAAGUAAUAUUAAAAAAAAAAUGAAUGAAGAAAGCUUUAGAACCAAUAUGAUGAAAGUUGCAAAAAAUUUGACAAAAGAAGACAUAAAAUACAUUAAGUUUAAAUAUAUCAGGAAAAUAGGUGAGGGUGUUCUUGAAAAGAUAGAUAGUGCAAUAGAAUUAUUGACCAUAUUAGAACAGCAAGGUUUCCUCAAUUAUAAUAAUUAUGAACCAUUUGCUAAACUACUUAUUCAAUUGGGCAAGCAAAAGUUAGUUAAAGAUUGUUUUCCUGCUGCAGUUAAGUCGA
Long non-coding RNA from Hydra vulgaris (swiftwater hydra), 431 nucleotides. RefSeq lists it as uncharacterized. Lineage: Eukaryota; Metazoa; Cnidaria; Hydrozoa; Anthoathecata; Hydridae. The record is from RefSeq and is a predicted model, not a curated record.